GGAUUCAUAAUUUUUCCUCUUACAUCUGGAAAGGGAGGAACCCCACAAGACUGUGAUUUAGAUCAGUCCCUGGAGCAAGAAAGCUGAGCAGAAGCAACAAAUCAGCAUUCCUGAAACCUCUCCUGGUACCUGAGGUACCUUAGCUCUGGAGCAGAGGAACGUUCUGACAAGUACUGAACCCUGAGCAGAGCUCCCUGCAUCCAGGAGAAACCCAGGAAUUUCAAAAUAUAGCUAAGCUUCAUUUUGCUGGGCUGGCUCCCUGCAGAUGCCCACCCAUCACUGCUCGCCUGGUCUCUGCUGGAGGAGAGGUUCCAGUAGCCAAGGGCCAAGUGAUGCUGGUGGCUGGAGACCAUGGAAACUGACAAGAGGAAGACACACACCUUCAGGCUGCUUGGAAGGGAAUCUGGAUGUAAAAUAACUAAGAUUGCCCCUGAAGCCCCUUUCAGAAAGGACACCCUACUGGCUGUUUUCUGUUCCCUUGGUGAGGGGGAGAAGAACCAAAGAAGAACCUCCAAAAAGAAAAUACACCAUAAGGAAUGUUCAAGGCUCAGAGGCUUCUGAAGCUGAUAGUUCACUCCAUCAAAGGACAAUGCACAUUGAUGGGUUGAAUUCCCACAUGGAUGGGCUGCACCAACCCAAAGGCCAGGCUUUGAUGGCCUAAGCCAUGGCCAGGCUGGAGCACUCAGAGCUGGUAGGACAGCACAGGUAGGAGCUGCCUAUUACUGUUACCUGUUAGGGUUUUGCAUCCCAUUGAAAAUCAGGGAACCAGCAAUCAGACAGGAAUUGGGUGUGCUGUCAGUCAUUCUGCAUGACUUUUUUCCAAGGAGAAACAAAAAAAAAGUGCCUGAAGAUCCAGCCCCAGUGGGCCACUAGACAAAGCCCAUCAGAGUGGGGAGGGGCCACAGUUACAAUGGUAGAUUGUAAUAGAUAGUUACAAUGGUUGUUCUGUCACCCAAACCUUACAGCUGAACCUUGAGGACUAUCAAAUCCAUUAUAAAGCUUUUCUUUUCCAACUACCUUGAAACUGCACUAUUAGUAGCUAUUAUGUACUUGUAAUUUGUAUUUUGAAUAGUAAAGUCUAAAUUGUAACUGUUCACAGGAUAUCAAAUACAAUUGUUAUGGCAUUGUUGCUCUUUUCUUAUUUCUCCUUUUGAAGCCCAUUUUGUACAACUUGCCCCUCCACCCACUCGCCUGUGCUGAAUCUCAGAGCCAGUCAGAGCACAUGAUAACAGCAGGCUCUGGCCUGACAUAAUGCACACAAAAACACUGUUCCCAUGUCAGUGGCAACUAAUGCCAGAUCAUACUCUGACCCUGGGGAAAUUGAGAUUUGUUAUCAGGAUGACUAUUUGCACUCCCCAGUUUCUGCC
Molecule: long non-coding RNA, 1367 nt
Filed under: Corvus moneduloides (New Caledonian crow)
Lineage: Eukaryota; Metazoa; Chordata; Aves; Passeriformes; Corvidae
Description: lncRNA (ENSCMUG00000012925.2)
Source: RNAcentral